This 88-nucleotide microRNA precursor is filed under the name Pan paniscus (pygmy chimpanzee). Its description in RNAcentral is "microRNA 944 (ENSPPAG00000018467.1)". It matches the Rfam family "mir-944 microRNA precursor family". The record is from Rfam by way of RNAcentral. Lineage: Eukaryota; Metazoa; Chordata; Mammalia; Primates; Hominidae.
GUUCCAGACACAUCUCAUCUGAUAUACAAUAUUUUCUUAAAUUGUAUAAAGAGAAAUUAUUGUACAUUGGAUGAGCUGUGUCUGGGAU